Non-coding RNA from Exophiala xenobiotica, 158 nucleotides. NCBI's taxonomy places the organism in Eukaryota, Fungi, Ascomycota, Eurotiomycetes, Chaetothyriales, Herpotrichiellaceae. The record is from Rfam.
GGGGAUGUGGUCUAGUGGUAUGACGUGUAAGCAUCGCACCACACAAUUGAACGAAGCACUCAUCUAAUAUGACAACAGUUCCUUAGCAGAAGUUGAAUCCUGAAAGGAUUGCCCACAACAUCUGGAAAAGGUUCUGGGUUCGAUUCCCAGCUUCUCCA